CCCUCCUACAAAGGCGUGUCUGUGGUUUCCUGUUCUUGGACACAUAAGAAUUGGAGGUAAAGAGAUGUGGGCUUGGAAAGUCUGGAGCCAGCUUGCUCCCUGCAGGCUCAAGAUCACCCUUUCCCACACGG
Molecule: small nucleolar RNA, 131 nt
Organism: Dasypus novemcinctus (nine-banded armadillo)
Lineage: Eukaryota; Metazoa; Chordata; Mammalia; Cingulata; Dasypodidae
Source: Ensembl